GCUAAGACCCGGAGAAGCGGGCUCUCCCCCUAGCGCCUCCUCGGAGGCGCCUCCGGGACGCACUGGGCAUGUUCCGUCGCUGGGUCAGGGUUUGCUGACACCCAGGAAGCUUCUGCGGCAGCAGUGCCCCUUCCACGGCGGAUUUCUUUCCCCACUCCCUCAGUGGGCUCUGGCACAAAUACAAGUGGCCCGAGGCAGCCUUGGUCCCCCUCGCCGGGAGAGGCAGAAGGUCCUUGGGAACCGGAGCUCAAGUUUUCUCCCAGAGAACUUCGCAGCCUUCUCCUUUUUCAGCCCCAAGAAAUCGGAGACCUUUUUCGAGAGCCUUUGAUUGCUCUUCAACGACACAGGUCAAUUAAAUGCGUAUUGAGUGCCACUAUUUGACAGGCACUAUGCAAAGAGCUAAGGAUGGGAACCCUAAAACAAAAACUCCACAAUGCCUGUCCUCAGGGAGCUUACACCUUCCAUCAGGGGAGGGGAUAUUUUAAUAAAUAACUGGUGUCUAAACUCUGACAAAUUCUUGUUGUAAAGAGAAUUUUUGAAGAAAUGCACCGCUUUACUCCUUGAAUACAAUACUAUAUUCUCGUCCCUCUUUUUUCUUGGAUGCACCUUGCAUGCACUCCCUUCUCACACCUAUCAAACAUGGACCUUUCACGUGAGGCAUCUUAUCAUCUCUGGCCAGUGACCGCAUUAAAUACAUAGCAUGUAUUUAAGAGCCUACUAUGUCAGGCACUGUGCUAAGCGCUGGGGAAACAGGAAAAGGUAAAACAACAAUCAAAGAAAAACAAAACAAAAAAACAUAGCUGCUGCAAAUUAUGUUGGAUAUGUAUGGGAAAAGUAUUUUUAACCCGUAUUUUAGGGAAGGGGGAAUUAAAUAGGUUUGGGGACAAUAUCUCAUUGAUUCAUGAGCUGGAAGAUGUUUCUUUCAUAAAAUAAAGUACCUUGGACUGAACACCUGGUUCUUCUAUUUGGAGC
This is a long non-coding RNA of Monodelphis domestica (gray short-tailed opossum), 972 nucleotides long. RefSeq lists it as uncharacterized. The record is from RefSeq and is a predicted model, not a curated record. NCBI's taxonomy places the organism in Eukaryota, Metazoa, Chordata, Mammalia, Didelphimorphia, Didelphidae.